Chanos chanos (milkfish) is the source of this 187-nucleotide small nucleolar RNA. RefSeq annotates it as small nucleolar RNA SNORA81. Lineage: Eukaryota; Metazoa; Chordata; Actinopteri; Gonorynchiformes; Chanidae. The transcript has a single exon. The record is from RefSeq and is a predicted model, not a curated record.
CCCUUCUUUCCAAAGCAUCCUGCUAAAAUCACGAAUCCUAAGUCUUUCUGGCCUAGGGUUUGUGGUCAUGCUAGCAGUGGUUCUACCAAAGAAGGAAGAGCAAAAGCACAACAGUCGGAAAUGAGUCCGGGAGGGACCUCUUUCUUAAUGUCCAGUGUCCUCGAUCUCAAGAUUUUGUGUCAUAUUU